RNAcentral lists this ribosomal RNA (433 nucleotides) under uncultured bacterium. RNAcentral describes it as "partial 16S ribosomal RNA". It matches the Rfam family "Bacterial small subunit ribosomal RNA", at positions 29 to 507 of the family's 1533-position model. The record is from RNAcentral.
AACGAACGCUGGCGGCAGGCCUAACACAUGCAAGUCGAGCGCGCCCUUCGGGGUGAGCGGCGGACGGGUGAGUAACGCGUGGGAACGUGCCCUUUUCUACGGAAUAGCCUCGGGAAACUGAGAGUAAUACCGUAUACGCCCUUUGGGGGAAAGAUUUAUCGGAAAAGGAUCGGCCCGCGUUGGAUUAGGUAGUUGGUGGGGUAAUGGCCUACCAAGCCGACGAUCCAUAGCUGGUUUGAGAGGAUGAUCAGCCACACUGGGACUGAGACACGGCCCAGACUCCUACGGGAGGCAGCAGUGGGGAAUCUUAGACAAUGGGGGCAACCCUGAUCUAGCCAUGCCGCGUGAGUGAUGAAGGCCUUAGGGUUGUAAAGCUCUUUCAGCUGGGAAGAUAAUGACGGUAUCAGCAGAAGAAGCCCCGGCUAACUCCGUG